RNAcentral lists this ribosomal RNA (448 nucleotides) under uncultured bacterium. RNAcentral's name for it is "bacterial SSU rRNA". It matches the Rfam family "Bacterial small subunit ribosomal RNA", at positions 329 to 794 of the family's 1533-position model. The record is from RNAcentral.
GUCCAGACUCCUACGGGAGGCAGCAGUGGGGGAUAUUGGACAAUGGGGGGAACCCUGAUCCAGCGACGCCGCGUGAGUGAAGAAGUAUUUCGGUACGUAAAGCCCUAUCAGCAGGAAAGAAAAUGACGGUACCUGACUAAGAAGCCCCGGCUAACUACGUGCCAGCAGCCGCGGUAAUACGUAGGGGGCAAGCGUUAUCCGGAUUUACUGGGUGUAAAGGGAGCGUAGACGGCAGCGCAAGUCUGGAGUGAAAUGCCGGGGCCCAACCCCGGAACUGCUCUGGAAACUGUGAAGCUGGAGUGCUGGAGAGGUAAGCGGAAUUCCUAGUGUAGCGGUGAAAUGCGUAGAUAUUAGGAGGAACACCAGUGGCGAAGGCGGCUUACUGGACAGUAACUGACGUUGAGGCUCGAAAGCGUGGGGAGCAAACAGGAUUAGAUACCCCUGUAAC